CCGACGGUGAGAGGUGAAAGCUGGGGGAGCAAACCGGAUUAGAUACCCGGGUAGUCCCAGCCGUAAACGAUGUGCGUUAGGUGUAUCGGUGACCACGAGUCACCGAGGUGCCGAAGAGAAAUCGUGAAACGUACCGCCUGGGAAGUACGGUCGCAAGGCUGAAACUUAAAGGAAUUGGCGGGGGAGCACCACAACAGGUGGAGCCUGCGGUUUAAUCGGACUCAACGCCGGGAAACUCACCAGAUAA
This 247-nucleotide ribosomal RNA is filed under the name uncultured archaeon. RNAcentral's name for it is "partial 16S ribosomal RNA". It matches the Rfam family "Archaeal small subunit ribosomal RNA", at positions 691 to 937 of the family's 1478-position model. The record is from RNAcentral.